GAUGAACGCUGGCGGCGUGCUUAACACAUGCAAGUUGAACGGUGAAGCCAAGCUUGCUUGGUGGAUCAGUGGCGAACGGGUGAGUAACACGUGAGCAACCUGCCCUGGACUCUGGGAUAAGCGCUGGAAACGGCGUCUAAUACUGGAUAUGAGCCUCUUCCGCAUGGUGGGGGUUGGAAAGAUUUUUUGGUCUGGGAUGGGCUCGCGGCCUAUCAGCUUGUUGGUGAGGUAAUGGCUCACCAAGGCGUCGACGGGUAGCCGGCCUGAGAGGGUGACCGGCCACACUGGGACUGAGACACGGCCCAGACUCCUACGGGAGGCAGCAGUGGGGAAUAUUGCACAAUGGGCGAAAGCCUGAUGCAGCAACGCCGCGUGAGGGAUGACGGCCUUCGGGUUGUAAACCUCUUUUAGCAGGGAAGAAGCGAAAGUGACGGUACCUGCAGAAAAAGCGCCGGCUAACUACGUG
This 466-nucleotide ribosomal RNA is filed under the name uncultured bacterium. RNAcentral's name for it is "partial 16S ribosomal RNA". It matches the Rfam family "Bacterial small subunit ribosomal RNA", at positions 28 to 507 of the family's 1533-position model. The record is from RNAcentral.